This 433-nucleotide ribosomal RNA is filed under the name uncultured bacterium. RNAcentral describes it as "partial 16S ribosomal RNA". It matches the Rfam family "Bacterial small subunit ribosomal RNA", at positions 29 to 507 of the family's 1533-position model. The record is from RNAcentral.
AACGAACGCUGGCGGCAUGCCUAACACAUGCAAGUCGAACGAGACCUUCGGGUCUAGUGGCGCACGGGUGCGUAACGCGUGGGAACCUGCCCUUAGGUUCGGAAUAACUCCCCGAAAGGGGUGCUAAUACCGGAUAAUGACUUCGGACCAAAGAUUUAUCGCCUUUGGAUGGGCCCGCGUUGGAUUAGCUAGUUGGUAGGGUAAAAGCCUACCAAGGCGACGAUCCAUAGCUGGUCUGAGAGGAUGAUCAGCCACACUGGGACUGAGACACGGCCCAGACUCCUACGGGAGGUAGCAGUGGGGAAUAUUGGACAAUGGGCGAAAGCCUGAUCCAGCAAUGCCGCGUGAGUGAUGAAGGCCUUAGGGUUGUAAAGCUCUUUUACCCGGGAUGAUAAUGACAGUACCGGGAGAAUAAGCUCCGGCUAACUCCGUG